GUGCAGUGGCGCGCGAUCUCGGUUCACUGCAAGCUCCACCUCCCGGGUUCACGCCAUUCUCCUGCCUCAGCCUCCUGAGUAGCUGGGACUACAGGCGCCCGCCACCACACCCAGGAACAAAACCCAUCAGAAGAUGUCAGAAGAUAAGGAUUUUUGUCCUGAUGCUACACUUACCAGCUGUCCCUCAGUGUUCUACUUCUUAAAAAAAGAGAGAUGGAUAAACAGAGGCAACCCGAGGAUAAAGGCCUUGCUCAGUGUCACACAUUUCAGUCACUAAAUAAGACACAAUGGAUGCCAGUAUUCUCAUCCCCUCACAAAUAAAGAGCCUUCAAGCUCUUGCAGUCAACAAGAACUUUUGGAAUGAUUUCACUGCCUGAAAAGGCAGAUACAUAGGUGACACCCACAAAUAGGAAGAAAAUCAACCUGAACCUGAGUGUGUGGGCUCACUGACUCUAAGCAGUAGAGACAGAAGAAAAAGUUUUAGCAAAGAAGGGUUCUGAAAGAAAAUAAAUAUAGCUCGUUAUCAAGUGCUGUUUUUACACAGUAAAACAUGGGCAAAAUUACUCUUCUUUAAGUAGUAAUUCUUAUCUCUUGAUUAAGUCACCUACUCAUUCAUUUAAUAAAUACAUACUGAUUGUUUUCUAUGUGUUGAGCACUCAUCUCUGUAUUGGAAAUAUAAUAAUGACCAAAGUUGACAAUAGUAAUAACAAUAAUAGCUAAUAUAGCAGGCACUAAUAAUUAUUUGUUGAGUAAUAUGUCAAAAUUCAGUGUGAACAGCAUUCUAUUUGGGGCUGCAUCCACUGACUAUAACACAGCUAAUCUAUCUGAAAUGUUCCAGCUUUGGGCCUCUCUAACAGAAGAAGCUGUUGUUGGGCCUGCCUCUAGUUGGCGAUGCAUCCACCAAUGAGAAUGAAUUUAUGAUCGACCACUCUUCCUGUAAAGGCCGCUGGAACUGACAGCAUUGUGAUUUUCUUUUACUGUUAGUUUUAAAUUACUAGAACCAACUCAAUUACUAGAACGAACUUUACUUCUUUGUUUCCUACUUAUCAAAACAGUAAAAACAACAAGUAAAAGAAAUGCCAUCUUAAUAUUGUUUUGAUGACAAAACAGUAUUCCUUUUAGUUGUGCUUCAAAUGGAAUAAGAUGCAAACAGGCUUGGUAUGGUGGCUCACCCCUGUAAUCCCAGCCCUUUGGGAGGCCAAGGUGGAAGGAUUGCUUGAGGCCAUGAGUUUGAGACCAGCCUGCGCAACAUAGCAAGACCGUG
Molecule: long non-coding RNA, 1264 nt
Filed under: Homo sapiens (human)
Lineage: Eukaryota; Metazoa; Chordata; Mammalia; Primates; Hominidae
Description: HSALNT0091310
Source: RNAcentral